CAGUCGAGCGAAUGGAUUAAGAGCUUGCUCUUAUGAAGUUAGCGGCGGACGGGUGAGUAACACGUGGGUAACCUGCCCAUAAGACUGGGAUAACUCCGGGAAACCGGGGCUAAUACCGGAUAACAUUUUGAACCGCAUGGUUCGAAAUUGAAAGGCGGCUUCGGCUGUCACUUAUGGAUGGACCCGCGUCGCAUUAGCUAGUUGGUGAGGUAACGGCUCACCAAGGCAACGAUGCGUAGCCGACCUGAGAGGGUGAUCGGCCACACUGGGACUGAGACACGGCCCAGACUCCUACGGGAGGCAGCAGUAGGGAAUCUUCCGCAAUGGACGAAAGUCUGACGGAGCAACGCCGCGUGAGUGAUGAAGGCUUUCGGGUCGUAAAACUCUGUUGUUAGGGAAGAACAAGUGCUAGUUGAAUAAGCUGGCACCUUGACGGUACCUAACCAGAAAGCCACGGCUAACUACGUGCCAGCAGCCGCGGUAAUACGUAGGUGGCAAGCGUUAUCCGGAAUUAUUGGGCGUAAAGCGCGCGCAGGUGGUUUCUUAAGUCUGAUGUGAAAGCCCACGGCUCAACCGUGGAGGGUCAUUGGAAACUGGGAGACUUGAGUGCAGAAGAGGAAAGUGGAAUUCCAUGUGUAGCGGUGAAAUGCGUAGAGAUAUGGAGGAACACCAGUGGCGAAGGCGACUUUCUGGUCUGUAACUGACACUGAGGCGCGAAAGCGUGGGGA
This 728-nucleotide ribosomal RNA is filed under the name Bacillus cereus. RNAcentral describes it as "bacterial SSU rRNA". It matches the Rfam family "Bacterial small subunit ribosomal RNA", at positions 59 to 767 of the family's 1533-position model. Lineage: Bacteria; Bacillati; Bacillota; Bacilli; Caryophanales; Bacillaceae. The record is from RNAcentral.